Molecule: ribosomal RNA, 443 nt
Filed under: uncultured bacterium
Lineage: Bacteria
Description: partial 16S ribosomal RNA
Rfam family: Bacterial small subunit ribosomal RNA
Source: RNAcentral
CCUUCGGGUGACAGCAGUGGGGAAUAUUGGGCAAUGGGCGCAAGCCUGACCCAGCAACGCCGCGUGAAGGAAGAAGGCUUUCGGGUUGUAAACUUCUUUUCUCAGGGACGAAGAAAGUGACGGUACCUGAGGAAUAAGCCACGGCUAACUACGUGCCAGCAGCCGCUGUAUUCCGUAGGUGGCAAGCGUUAUCCGGAUUUAUUGGGUGUAAAGGGCGUGUAGGCGGGAGCGCAAGUCAGAUGUGAAAACUCAGGGCCCAACCCUGAGCCUGCAUUUGAAACUGUGUUUCUUGAGUGCGGGGGAGGCAGUCGGAAUUCGGUGUGUAGCGGUGAAAUGCGUAGAUAUACGGAAGAACACCAGUGGCGAAGGCAGAUUGCUGGACAGUAACUGACGCUGAGGCGCGAAAGCGUGGGGAGCGAACAGGAUUAGAUACCCCUGUAGUC